This 27-nucleotide small RNA is filed under the name Bombyx mori (domestic silkworm). RNAcentral describes it as "ovarian small RNA-6678". The record is from RNAcentral. Lineage: Eukaryota; Metazoa; Arthropoda; Insecta; Lepidoptera; Bombycidae.
UAUUGAAUGUUGAACUUGCUUGUUGAC